CGGGGUGCACCAGGCGCGAAAACUUUACAAUGCCGGCAACGGCGAUAAGGGAACCUCGAGUGCCAGGUUACAAAUCUGGCUGUCGUGAUGCCUAAAAAGCAUUGCAUAGCAAGGGCCGGGCAAGACCGGUGCCAGCCGCCGCGGUAACACCGGCGGCUCGAGUGGUAACCGUUAUUAUUGGGUCUAAAGGGUCUGUAGCCGGCCGGGUAAGUCUCUUGGGAAAUCUGGCAGCUUAACUGUCAGGCUUUCAGGAGAUACUGCCUGGCUCGAGGCCGGGAGAGGUGAGAGGUACUUCAGGGGUAGGGGUGAAAUCUUGUAAUCCUUGAAGGACCACCAGUGGCGAAGGCGUCUCACCAGAACGGACCUGACGGCAAGGGACGAAAGCUAGGGGCACGAGCCGGAUUAGAUACCCGGGUAGUCCUAGCCGUAAACGAUACUCGCUAGGUGUCGGCCACGGUGCGACCGUGGUCGGUGCCGUAGGGAAGCCGUGAAGCGAGCCACCUGGGAAGUACGGCCGCAAGGCUGAAACUUAAAGGAAUUGGCGGGGGAGCACAAGGGCGAAU
This 563-nucleotide ribosomal RNA is filed under the name uncultured archaeon. Its description in RNAcentral is "bacterial SSU rRNA". It matches the Rfam family "Archaeal small subunit ribosomal RNA", at positions 326 to 889 of the family's 1478-position model. The record is from RNAcentral.